AUGGCGGAGCUCGCGUCAGGCGCCGUGAGCUCGCUGCUGGGCGUCAUCCGCAACGAGGCGCUGCUGCUGGGCCGCGUCCGGCACGACGUGCAGUUCAUCCAGGAGGAGAUGGAGAGCAUGCAGAGCUUCUUGACCCACCUGUCAAAGAAGGCACCCACCGGUGGCGAGCACGACGAGCAGAUUCGCACGUGGAUGAACCAGGUCCGGCUGCUCGCCCAGGACAGCAACAACUGCAUCGAUCUGUAUCUGUACCGCGGCAACCCCGAGAUCCAUCUAGCCAGGGGCGGCCUCCGGCGGUACAUCGCGUGGCUUCCCUGGUUUGUGCACAAGAUGGUGGCGCAGCAUCGUGCGGCUAUUCAGCUGCGUGCGCUCAGGGAACGGGCGCGUGACAUCGGUGAGCGGCGAUUGAGGUACGGUGUUGAGGUCCCAGCGAAAGGGGCGGGAGUGGGGCAGUCGCCUGCAGGGGCUGGUCCCACGCUGGCAGCGAUUGGUUCGCCAGUUGUGCAUGUAGCCUCAACAUCUAAUGCUUCAGGAGGUGAAGAGGAUGACAGUGACGAUCAAGACGUCAUGGCGUUGGUGGUGACAAAUCGCUCUCAUCCAAGAGGGGCGUGUUUUGAGCCUCGUACGCCAGAGGAGAAUGUUAGGGUGAAGCUAGCGGAAUGGAUACAGAAUGUUGCACAAUGCAACACUGUUAAGGGGGGAUCAGUACCAUCCGUGGCCAUUGUGGCACCGGAUAAGCAUGAAACCCUUGCUAUUGCAAAGGAAGCUUCAGCCAUGUGGAAAAAAUGCAGUGUCUUGGUCGACAUCCCAGCGGUACACUUCUAUUCUCGUGCCCUAAGAACUGAGGAUAUCUUGUACUAUAUACUGCGAGAACUUCAGCUCGCAAAAUCCCAACCCCAGCAGCAGGAAGUUCAAGGUGGGGGGGAUGAGGAUAUCAACAAAACAAAAAGGGAAAUUCUCUCCCAAAAAGGGGAGGUUGUGAGAGAAAUCACAAAAAUUAUCCAAGGAAUGAAGGUUAACAAGAAGAUUUCAGAAAUCAAGAGCACUCUUCAAAACAUGAAGGACAACCAGCUGCAACUCAAUUUGACAGAAAUGAGUAAGGAUGAGCUGGGCCUGCUGGAAUCCGCAAAAGAUGAACCCUUGGGCAUAUUCCUCCGAGCAUUGUGGCUGCUAAAGCUCAAGCCAGCUAAAGGUGCCCCUGCACACAAACAAGUCCAAGAAAGGAAGGGAGAGACACGUUCACGCGACGAUGUCAUUAAAGAAACAGCUAAGAUGCUUAAAAAGCAUAUGGAAAUACACGCAGAAGAUGAAAAAGAAGAACCACACACAAAGCAGAUUCUUCUCAAGGAAGCCCAGUAUGAAGACCUCUUACGUGAAGUGUUCCCCCCCGUGACCAUCAGGAAGGACCCGCAGAACCAGGAGGAAGACUCCAAGCAAGCCACAGCCAUCAACACCACCGCUGGCACUACAAUUAUAUUGGUCGAGGACCAAUUCAAAGAUAUGAUCCGCAAGAUACUGCAGGAGCUGCAGGAAGACAAAUCCAUGAAGAACAAGAAAUUAGAUACAACUGAGCUGCGGGAAGACAUAUCUCUGAAGGACAAAAAAAUAGAUACAACUGAGCUGCAGGAAGACAAAUCAGAGAAGAAACUAGAUACAACUGAGCUGCAAGAAGUAAAAUCCAUGAAGAAACCAAGUCAAGAUUUUAUACUGGAUGCUCUUAUUGAAGAAACCAUGGAGAGGUUUUGGGAAAUCGAGUGGGAGAUGAAUCAACAGCUCGUCAUCAAAGGGAUCAUGGACAAAAUUAGGGAUUGUUUUGAUAGAAAAGGUGAUGAGAUAAUCCUAGUUAUCCUCAAACUCGAUUAUGACUGGGUAUCCGGAUGGGAGGAGACCAAAAAGGCUUUCAGCAUUUUUGGUUGCAUAGCUGGUGCACUGAUGUUGACCUUUGAAGAAAACAGAACACGAGCAAAAGGAUAUUGUUGUCCGUCGCGGGAGCCUAUAGACUAUUCUGUUCUUGGGCUCUACCAUGAUAUCACACUCGAGCUUACAAACCAGCAGAUGAAUAAAGAGAGCGCCCAGAUUUUUCUCGGCAUCUUGGAGAACUGUCACCAACAUGAAUUCUGCAUGAAGAUCUUCGUUCAUGCUUUGUACGCCAACCCCAAGAGGAGUGAUGAAGAACUAAGCAAGUUGCACAGAACCCUGCAGAAGGUUAUAGACAAAUCAUUGGACAAAAUUGCUAAGAAGAUACUCAAGUUCUCUUAUAGUGAUAUGCCUAAAGAAUACAAGUCUUGUUUGAUGUACCUAGCAAUUUUCCCUAGACGACAACCCAUCAGGCGGUCAACCUUGAUAGGACGGUGGGUUGUCGAAGGGCUGAUAACCAAGGAAGACUGGGCCAGUUCUGUGCGUCAUGCCAGUCGAUGUUUUGAUGCGUUGAUCAAUCGGUGGCUUGUUUAUCCUGCCGAUAUUGGGGCUACAGGAAAGAUAAAGAGUUGUGUGAUAGGUGAUCUUGUUCAUGAAUUCAUUACCAAGAUCGCUAGAAAGCGGCGCAUUGUGGAAACACGCCUGUCACAUCACUUGGCUCUCCGCUUCUCCAUUUUCAAUGACCUCCGACUCCGUGGCUCGGAUAAAAUAGAUAGAUUCUUCGAAAAGCUCCAUGAAGAAUCAUCUCGAGUAUCCCUGAUCAAGGUGCUAGAUCUCCAAGAUUGCCAGUGCUUUGGACGGAAGAAUCAAAUCUACCUCAGGGACAUAUGCAGCAAGAUGUUACUGCUCAAGUAUCUGAGCCUAAGGGGAACAGAUGUUACCCAGCUGCCGACUGAAAUCAAUAACCUCCGUGAGCUAGAAGUAUUGGAUAUCCGAGAAACAUAUGUGCCUCCAUCUGCAACAGUAAAUGUCUUACUCCUGAAGUUGAAGCGUUUGCUGGCUGGUCGCAUUGUUCCAAGUUCGGGGGUAAGUAGUACUGAACUAUUUAGUGUUGAGAUCCCUGAUAAGGUCGAAAAAAUGGUAAACAUGGAGGUAUUGUCCAAUGUCAAGGCACGGACGAGACAAGAUAUGAAAGAUAUUGGAAAGUUGUGGCAGCUCAGGAAGCUUGGUGUGGUUAUUCAAUACAAGGAGCCACACCUCAGGAAUUUUCUUCGAGCUAUCAGUGAUCUGCAUGAGUGCCUGAAGUCUCUGUCAAUCACUCUUCCCAAUAUAGAGGACAACAAAGAGAUCAGAGAUUGGGUUCUUGAACACUAUAAAAACUCUCCCAAGCUUCUCGAGAGCCUAAGCAUUACUGGAACCACACAAACAGUGCAACUUCUUCGGUUGUUGACCAGAGAUAUUGACCAACUCCAACUUCGCAAGGUAACUCUAUCUGGUACCCGGCUGUAUCAGCCUGAUCUGAAGGUCCUUGGCAAGCUUCCCAAAUUAAUAUGUCUCAGGCUCCGAGAUAACGCAUACAUCGAUAGCAACCUCACCUUCAACAAUGAUGAAUUCGAAAAUCUCAAGUGCUUUCUUAUUGAGGGUUCCAACAUAACUGCCCUCAGCUUUGGAGGUGGAGCACAUAAACUCGAGAAAAUCGUGUUGUGCUCCACCGAUGGACUGUCAAUUUCUGGAGUCGAAGACCUUCUGGAACUGAAGGAUGUCGAGUUGAAGAACAGCAAUAAGUUAUCAUUGUUUGACAAGGCCAAAAACAUAUCCAAGGUGACUCUUUGGCAUACCUCUCUGAGUCAAUAUGAGGUAGAGAUUCUCGCCAAGAUACCUAACAUGCGCAACCUAGUACUCAAGGACAUAUUUUGUGUACAAAGCCAGCUUAUCUUAUACAAAGAUGACUUCCCAAAGCUCAACCUUCUUACAGUCGACUUCUCUGUCACCCCCAAGACUAUCAUUACCGACGGAUCAGCUCCUAAGCUCGAGAAAAUCAUCUGGUCCUUCACAAAGGACACGGUGGGUACUCUCUCCAUCUCCGGCACUGACAUCCUUCCAAACCUGAAGGAGCUCGAGAUCAAUGGUGAUUUUAUCCCUAGGGAGGUGGAAGAAGCAUUGAAGAAACACAAGAACAAACCCAAGUUUACAUACAACAAACCGGAAAACCAAUACCAGGAAGCCGGAAACAUACCAGAAAAGAAAGAUCCUCCAAGAUUCUCAUUUUUGAGGAAGAAAGAAGAUUGA
This 4146-nucleotide ribosomal RNA is filed under the name Triticum aestivum (bread wheat). RNAcentral describes it as "partial small subunit ribosomal RNA". Lineage: Eukaryota; Viridiplantae; Streptophyta; Magnoliopsida; Poales; Poaceae. The record is from RNAcentral.